UGGGGAAUUUUGCACAAUGGAGGAAACUCUGAUGCAGCGACGCCGCGUGAGUGAUGAAGAUCUUAGGAUUGUAAAACUCUGUCCUUAGUGAAGAUAAUGACAGUAACUAAGAAGCAAGCCCUGGCUAAAUACGUGCCAGCAGCCGCGGUAAUACGUAUGGGGCAAGCGUUGUCCGGAAUUAUUGGGCGUAAAGGGUACGUAGGCGGUUUAAUAAGUCCUAAUUAAAAGGCUAUGGCUCAACCAUAGUAUGGUUAGGAAACUGUUGAACUUGAGUAGAUGAGGGGAAAGUGGAAUUCCAUGUGUAGCGGUGAAAUGCGUAGAUAUAUGGAGGAACACCAAUGGCGAAGGCAACUUUCUGGAAUCAAACUGACGCUGAGGUACGAAGGCGUGGGGAGCAAACAGG
This 403-nucleotide ribosomal RNA is filed under the name Fusobacteriota bacterium. Its description in RNAcentral is "Fusobacteria bacterium partial 16S ribosomal RNA". It matches the Rfam family "Bacterial small subunit ribosomal RNA", at positions 355 to 776 of the family's 1533-position model. Lineage: Bacteria; Fusobacteriati; Fusobacteriota. The record is from RNAcentral.